GAUGAAGAACGUAGCGAAAUGCGAUACGUAGUGUGAAUUGCAGAAUUCAGUGAAUCAUCGAAUCUUUGAACGCACAUUGCACCUCUCGGUAUUCCGGGAGGUAUGCCUGUUCGAGCGUCAUUUGUACCCUCAAGCUCUGCUUGGUGUUGGGUGUCUGUUCCGCCUCUGUGUGUGAACUCGCCUCAAAACAAUUGGCAGCCGGCGUACUUGUUUCGGAGCGCAGCACAUUUUGCGAUCCAGAUCAACGUACAGCGGCAUCCAAGAAGCCUUAUUUAACGCUCUUGACCUCGGAUCAGGUAGGGAUACCCGCUGAACUUAAGCAUAUCAAUAAGCGGAGGA
Molecule: unclassified non-coding RNA, 339 nt
Filed under: soil metagenome
Description: partial contains 5.8S ribosomal RNA, internal transcribed spacer 2, and large subunit ribosomal RNA
Rfam family: 5.8S ribosomal RNA (bases 1-120)
Source: RNAcentral